RNAcentral lists this ribosomal RNA (478 nucleotides) under uncultured bacterium. RNAcentral describes it as "partial 16S ribosomal RNA". It matches the Rfam family "Bacterial small subunit ribosomal RNA", at positions 28 to 523 of the family's 1533-position model. The record is from RNAcentral.
GACGAACGCUGGCGGCGUGCUUAACACAUGCAAGUCGAACGGUAAGGCCCUUCGGGGUACACGAGUGGCGAACGGGUGAGUAACACGUGGGUGAUCUGCCCUGCACUUCGGGAUAAGCCUGGGAAGCUGGGUCUAAUACCGGAUAGGACCACUGCCUGCAUGGGUGGUGGUGGAAAGCUUUUGCGGUGUGGGAUGGGCCCGCGGCCUAUCAGCUUGUUGGUGGGGGGAUGGCCUACCAAGGAGACGACGGGUAGCCGGCCUGAGAGGGUGACCGGCCACACGGGGACUGAGAUACGGCCCAGACUCCUACGGGAGGCAGCAGUGGGGAAUAUUGCACAAUGGGAGCAAGCCUGAUGCAGCGACGCCGCGUGAGGGAUGACGGCCUUCGGGUUGUAAACCUCUUUCAGCAUCGACGAAGCGCAAGUGACGGUAGGUGCAGAAGAAGGACCGGCCAACUACGUGCCAGCCGCCGCGGUAA